Molecule: long non-coding RNA, 1587 nt
Filed under: Sorghum bicolor (sorghum)
Lineage: Eukaryota; Viridiplantae; Streptophyta; Magnoliopsida; Poales; Poaceae
Description: long non-coding RNA (SBIC_LNC002005)
Source: RNAcentral
GGAGGACGUUAGGUCGUGGGAGCACAGGCGUUCCUCGAAGCCGUGGGUCUGCCUGCAUCGCUAGCCUGACUUCACCGCCACCCAAGGUAUAACCGCACAUUCUAUUUGUGUCGUCGUUUACGUAACCGAGUUAGGCGUCUCCCGUUCGAAAGAGAUACGGUUGGAAACGACCGUAUCUAUUUCGAAUUGUCCACGUUAUUUGGACAGCCCGAGGAUGCGUAGAUGGGGUUAGUUUCCAGGUCCACUCCGAUCUGAGAUAGAGUUUCAGCAUCACCUCCCUGUUGUUCUCCGGGUACACAACCUCCCCGUCGAGACGUGUAUUUGGAGAACAGCGGGGAGGUGCUGCCGAAAUUUCGUCUCAGAUCGGAGUUGACAUGGAAACUAACUCCAUCUACGCAUCCUCGGGUGGGAUUAGGACCUAUCCUCACCUAUUAGUUAAUAGGGCUAUCGUGUAGAUGCAUUCUGUUCUUACAUUACUGCAUGAUAUGUUAGAGGAUGGAUGACCAUCAGUGGAUGUACACUGGCCGGCCAAGUCAGAGAGACAUCUCCUUGGAAUGGAUUGAGAAGAUCGAGGCUUUCUUAGAGCAAGCAUUCGCCAGGGCUAAAGGCGCCCGUAUGACCUGGUGUCCAUGCGUGAAGUGUGCAAACACGCGGAAGCGUACGAAGGAGGUCAUGGGGCAGCAUCUUUGCAAGUUUGGGUUUAUGCAGGGCUAUACCCGAUGGACCUACCACGGUGAAGGUGAUCGCACGAGGGAGGAGGUUGUGAGACCACGUGUCGAUGGUUUUGAUGAUCUUGGGCUAGUCGAAAUUCGACAGGAUUCCGUCUUACCAGGAGAUGAUGUAUACAUUGUGGCCCAAAAGGCCACACAAGUUUAUUAUACGUCGUACCCGUGCAAAACUGAUGCACGUCUUAAGGGUUGGGAUGUUGUGCACAAGGUAUCGCCGCACGGUGGAGUACCGGUACCAAACAAGGAAGAUUACAACCUUGACACGGACACAUAUGAAGGGGAGUUCUAUCAAGAAGAGGGUCUAGAAGGGACUUUUGUGAUAGACUUAACUGAAGCCAUGGAUGUGGCCAUUAUUGUUGAAGAUGACGAUGACGUUGAGGUUGAAGAUGUGAGGGACUUACAAUUACUUGAGCAGUUAUGCUUAGACAAUGACAAUAACGAUAUCGAUGCUCCUCCAGUUAGUGAUGAGUACCUAGACAUGGCUGGUACAGAUGAUGAGAUGGAGGAUGCACCGAAUGCCGGUUAUGAAGAUGAUGAUUAUUUCUAAUACAUGUAAUAUUAUGUUAUCAUUAAUUUGCAUCUCUAUCUAAGUACAUGAUGUUUAAUUGUGGUUACUGAUUUACUCUUCUUACAUGCAGGUCACUGAACAAAGAUGGUGGGCGGCAUGAGGAACGUGAGGUCACGGUACGCCCGACCGAGGGAGGAGCCUCAGGAGCAGCCUGAGGGGUCGGGGAGCAGGUCGAGGAGCCGGUCGAGGCGGACCUCGAGCAGGAGGACCAGGAGCGUUAGCAGUCUUCAGGGAGAGACACCCAUGGUGCAGCAGCAGGAGACGCCCACCUGGGAGUAGGAGGAGCAGGAG